CCUACGGGAGGCAGCAGUGGGGAAUCUUGCGCAAUGCGCGAAAGCCUGACGCAGCAACGCCGCGUGAAUGACGAAGGCCUUCGGGUCGUAAAGUUCUUUUUACAGGGAAGAAAAUGCCUAUAAGUAACUAUGUAUGUAUUGACGUUACCUUUUUAAACAGCCCUGGCUAACUCCGUGCCAGCAGCCGCGGUAAUACGGAGGGGGCAAGCGUUGUCCGGAGUUACUGGGCGUAAAGAGCACGUAGGCGGUGUUUUAAGUCAUGAGUGAAAGACUAGGGCUCAACUUGGGUAGGGCAUGUGAUACUAUAAUACUUGAGUGCAGGAGAGGAAAGCAGAAUUCCUGGUGUAGCGGUGAAAUGCGUAGAGAUCAGGAGGAACACCAGUGGCGAAGGCGACUAUCUGGACGGUAACUGACGCUGAGGUGCGAAAGCGUGGGUAGCAAACAGGAGUAGAUACCCGAGUAGUC
RNAcentral lists this ribosomal RNA (465 nucleotides) under uncultured bacterium. RNAcentral describes it as "partial 16S ribosomal RNA". It matches the Rfam family "Bacterial small subunit ribosomal RNA", at positions 338 to 795 of the family's 1533-position model. The record is from RNAcentral.